Molecule: non-coding RNA, 138 nt
Organism: Ornithorhynchus anatinus (platypus)
Lineage: Eukaryota; Metazoa; Chordata; Mammalia; Monotremata; Ornithorhynchidae
Source: Rfam
GCCCUUUCCGGAUUGCAGCUGGAGAGUUUCCAGUCCUCUACCAGUAUUGACUACGGAAGGGAGAGUCAAGCAGAGGCCUACCCAUUCCAUUCUUAGCUUGGCGAGUGGCUAGCGAGUGGAAGGCAAUUUGCUACAAGU